Non-coding RNA from Lingula anatina, 73 nucleotides. The record is from Rfam. NCBI's taxonomy places the organism in Eukaryota, Metazoa, Brachiopoda, Lingulata, Lingulida, Lingulidae.
UCAUCCAUCAAAGUGGCUGUGAAGCAAUGAUAUUGUCUACUGUUGUAUCACAGCCCCGCUUUGAUGAGCUGAG